UUAAAUUGAAGAGUUUGAUCAUGGCUCAGAUUGAACGCUGGCGGCAGGCCUAACACAUGCAAGUCGAACGGUAACAGGAAGCAGCUUGCUGCUUUGCUGACGAGUGGCGGACGGGUGAGUAAUGUCUGGGAAACUGCCUGAUGGAGGGGGAUAACUACUGGAAACGGUGGCUAAUACCGCAUAACGUCGCAAGACCAAAGAGGGGGACCUUCGGGCCUCUUGCCAUCAGAUGUGCCCAGAUGGGAUUAGCUUGUUGGUGAGGUAACGGCUCACCAAGGCGACGAUCCCUAGCUGGUCUGAGAGGAUGACCAGCCACACUGGAACUGAGACACGGUCCAGACUCCUACGGGAGGCAGCAGUGGGGAAUAUUGCACAAUGGGCGCAAGCCUGAUGCAGCCAUGCCGCGUGUAUGAAGAAGGCCUUCGGGUUGUAAAGUACUUUCAGCGGGGAGGAAGGUGUUGUGGUUAAUAACCGCAGCAAUUGACGUUACCCGCAGAAGAAGCACCGGCUAACUCCGUGCCAGCAGCCGCGGUAAUACGGAGGGUGCAAGCGUUAAUCGGAAUUACUGGGCGUAAAGCGCACGCAGGCGGUCUGUCAAGUCGGAUGUGAAAUCCCCGGGCUCAACCUGGGAACUGCAUUCGAAACUGGCAGGCUUGAGUCUUGUAGAGGGGGGUAGAAUUCCAGGUGUAGCGGUGAAAUGCGUAGAGAUCUGGAGGAAUACCGGUGGCGAAGGCGGCCCCCUGGACAAAGACUGACGCUCAGGUGCGAAAGCGUGGGGAGCAAACAGGAUUAGAUACCCUGGUAGUCCACGCCGUAAACGAUGUCUACUUGGAGGUUGUGCCCUUGAGGCGUGGCUUCCGGAGCUAACGCGUUAAGUAGACCGCCUGGGGAGUACGGCCGCAAGGUUAAAACUCAAAUGAAUUGACGGGGGCCCGCACAAGCGGUGGAGCAUGUGGUUUAAUUCGAUGCAACGCGAAGAACCUUACCUGGUCUUGACAUCCACGGAACUUUCCAGAGAUGGAUUGGUGCCUUCGGGAACCGUGAGACAGGUGCUGCAUGGCUGUCGUCAGCUCGUGUUGUGAAAUGUUGGGUUAAGUCCCGCAACGAGCGCAACCCUUAUCCUUUGUUGCCAGCGGUCCGGCCGGGAACUCAAAGGAGACUGCCAGUGAUAAACUGGAGGAAGGUGGGGAUGACGUCAAGUCAUCAUGGCCCUUACGACCAGGGCUACACACGUGCUACAAUGGCGCAUACAAAGAGAAGCGACCUCGCGAGAGCAAGCGGACCUCAUAAAGUGCGUCGUAGUCCGGAUUGGAGUCUGCAACUCGACUCCAUGAAGUCGGAAUCGCUAGUAAUCGUGGAUCAGAAUGCCACGGUGAAUACGUUCCCGGGCCUUGUACACACCGCCCGUCACACCAUGGGAGUGGGUUGCAAAAGAAGUAGGUAGCUUAACCUUCGGGAGGGCGCUUACCACUUUGUGAUUCAUGACUGGGGUGAAGUCGUAACAAGGUAACCGUAGGGGAACCUGCGGUUGGAUCACCUCCUUACCUGAAAGAAGC
This 1556-nucleotide ribosomal RNA is filed under the name Salmonella enterica subsp. enterica serovar Montevideo str. USDA-ARS-USMARC-1900. RNAcentral's name for it is "bacterial SSU rRNA". It matches the Rfam family "Bacterial small subunit ribosomal RNA". RNAcentral also lists the same sequence under 4 other names. Lineage: Bacteria; Pseudomonadati; Pseudomonadota; Gammaproteobacteria; Enterobacterales; Enterobacteriaceae. The record is from RNAcentral.